RNAcentral lists this ribosomal RNA (360 nucleotides) under Triticum aestivum (bread wheat). Its description in RNAcentral is "partial small subunit ribosomal RNA". The record is from RNAcentral. Lineage: Eukaryota; Viridiplantae; Streptophyta; Magnoliopsida; Poales; Poaceae.
AUGCCGCGCAUUCCCAUGAUCAGAUUCCCCAAGAGGCAUCUCAAAGUCCCAUCCCCACCAGCGGCGCAGCCUGCAGAUCAGCACGCGACCCUCAUGUCCCGAUUGGGAGCUAAAGUAGAGGCACCAUCUUCUGGAGAGAAAAAGAAUUACCGGUUCAGAUCAGAUGUGCCUUCCGCACCUUCUCAUAAUGCUGUUGGAGGGCCAGCUUCACAGCUUCCCAAGCGCAAACCACUCUCUGAGGAAGAGAUUGAAGCUAUCAUGAAUGAUUGUGUAGUGUACUACAGUACUAGUGUGGACACAUGUGGUUGUUGGUUCAAGCCUAAAGAUAGUGGCAAAUGCUUGUCAAUUACCCAUGCAUAA